Molecule: ribosomal RNA, 273 nt
Filed under: uncultured bacterium
Lineage: Bacteria
Description: partial 16S ribosomal RNA
Rfam family: Bacterial small subunit ribosomal RNA
Source: RNAcentral
GACAGAGGGUGCAAACGUUGUUCGGAAUUACUGGGCGUAAAGCGAGUGUAGGCGGUCUGCUAAGUCGGGUGUGAAAGCCCCGGGCUCAACCCGGGAAGUGCACUCGAAACUGGCAGGCUAGAGUACUGGAGAGGUUGGUGGAAUUCUCGGUGUAGAGGUGAAAUUCGUAGAUAUCGAGAGGAACACCGGUGGCGAAGGCGGCCAACUGGACAGAUACUGACGCUGAGACUCGAAAGCGUGGGGAGCAAACAGGAUUAGAAACCCCCGUAGUCC